RNA transcript from Meriones unguiculatus (Mongolian gerbil), 4678 nucleotides. It is a transcript of the gene named UDP-GlcNAc:betaGal beta-1,3-N-acetylglucosaminyltransferase like 1, with no coding region annotated. The transcript has 13 exons. The record is from RefSeq and is a predicted model, not a curated record. Lineage: Eukaryota; Metazoa; Chordata; Mammalia; Rodentia; Muridae.
GGCCCGAAACCUGCCUCCGGCCGGGCAGGGGAGCCGCAUGGCUCCGCGCCGAGCGGAAGUGGUCCGCGCACCACCUCCCGGAGCUGGCCGUGCGCGCUCGGGCUCCCGGGCAGGCCGCGCGUGCCAAAGGAGGGCGGUGGCGUCCCGCCAUGCAGCUCCCGGAGAACGCCACUCCGCGCGGCCCCCCGGCCCUAGUGACCAUUGUCCUCCCGGUGCACAAUGCCGAGCAGUGGCUGGAGGAGUGCUUGAUGUCUGUUUUACAGCAGGACUUUGACGGCACCAUGGAGCUCUCGGUUUUUAAUGAUGCCAGCAAGGACAAGUCGAGAACCAUCAUUGAAAACUGGAAGGUAAAACUGGAGGAUUCCGGCAUCUCUGUCGUCACUGGAGGCCAUGACUCUCCUUCUCCCAGAGGAGUUGGAUAUUCUAAAAACCAAGCGAUUGCACAGAGCACAGGGUCUUAUCUUUGCUUUUUGGAUUCAGAUGAUGUUAUGAUGCCCCAGAGAGUGAGGCUACAAUAUGAAGCUGCUGUUCAGCACCCAACGAGUAUUAUAGGAUGUCAAGUGAGGAGGGACCCGCCAGACUCCACAGAGCGAUACACACGUUGGAUCAACCAGUUGACUUCCGAUCAGCUGCUUACACAGGUGUUCACCUCCCAUGGCCCCACGGUGAUCAUGCCUACCUGGUUCUGCUCACGAGCCUGGUUCUCCCACGUGGGCCCAUUUGAUGAAGGAGGACAGGGGGUUCCAGAGGAUCUUCUAUUCUUUUAUGAGCACCUCAGGAAAGGGGGCGGCGUCUUCCGGGUGGACCAGCACCUGCUCCUCUACCGAUACCACCUGUGUGCAGCUACACACUCAGUCCUGGAAAUGACCAUCUGGACCCAUCGUGUCCACUUCCUGGAGGAACAAGUCCUGCCUCACUGGAAGUCCUUCACCAUCUGGAAUGCAGGCAAGCAGGGGCGUAGGUUAUACCGCAGCCUGACCGCAGCCAGCCGGCGCAAGGUGGUGGCCUUCUGUGACGUUGAUGAGAACAAGAUCAGGAAGGGCUUCUACUGCCAUGAGGACUCUCAGGAAAGACCCAAGCCGAAGGUCCCCAUUCUGCAUUUCCAAGCUGCCCGGCCGCCGUUUGUCAUCUGUGUGAAGUUGGACCUCACAGGGGGCCAGUUUGAAGACAACCUGAAGUCACUGCACCUGCAGGAAGGCCAGGACUUUGUUCACUUCAGCUGAGACUGCCACCCAGGUGGGUCUACACUGCAGCACCUCUGCAGGCUCUAAGCCCUGUUGUCUGCCUUGCUUCCCCUUCACAGACAACUUUCAUCCCUACAGACAGACAGCCUCAAAACAGGAAGAGAGCCCAAGGUAUCAACAGAUCGAAGCUUUCACAACUUAACAUGCAACCUCAGCACGAGGGCUCUAGAAACACAGCAAGGCCAAGACAGCACAGGCAGCCAAGAAGGCCCCAGUGGGACAGGAGUCCAUGAAGGCGGCACAGGUGUCCUUGGAGGGAGACAGCCCCUUACAGGACGUAUACAUCCAGGCAGGGUAUGAGGAGGGCGCCAACGCCGCCUGCCACACAGGGGAAGCUUCUUUCCCAGAAGACAGACGCUGAGACAGCACGGGGCCUCCAACAGCUGACUACCCAGCACCACACUGUGAGGACAGAACCUGCCCCCUCUGGAGAAACAGCACUCCCAGCUGGUCUGGAAAAGUUCACAGCCGAGAUGAAUACUGACCGUGGGACCCAAAGCUCAGAGCAGAUGACACAGGUGCCAUAUGUCCUCAGAAUCCUAGAGUAUUACCUUUGGAACGAGCUGAGGUCUGGGCACGCCAAGGAGGUCACACAGGUGAUUCCGUUGCUCUCUUACAACUGGAAGCUCUGCAUCCCUAAAGAGGAAAGCAUCUGAGUGCCCCGUGGCACAUGGUCCAGCUCCCCCACCCCAUGAGAUCUGGUGAUGUUGGAGCAAAAAACCCUACCCCCAGUGUAGACACCAAGAAAACCUCUUUCACAGGACUAAGCCACACCCUGUUUUAGGGGCUCACCCAGAAGAAAUUCUACCUCAGGCUAAAGCCUCUGCAGCUCUACGUAUUCAGCCAUCGCUUGCUUUCAUUAGAAGACGUAAUGCGGCUGAAAGGUACUGUGCAUGGCUUCUUUUGUAUGUAAAGACGUUAUAAGGGCAGCUCCUCUAUAAACCAGGUACUGUGCUCUGGAGGAGUAGAGUUCCCAGCACCUACAGGGGGCAACUCACAGCCAUCUGCAACCUCAGCUCCAGGGGAACUAGACACCCUUUUCUGGCCUCCAUAGGCAACUGCACUCACAUGCACACAAGCCCUGACACACAUGCAUACACGUUAUUAAGCACAAAGAAGUUCCUCUCAUCCCUGAUGUCCUUACUCAGGAUGAGUGUGCAGGUGGACAUGUAGAUAGAACAUUGUAUUCAGAAUAAAGAAACCUUUUUCUAAAAAAAAUGUUGGAAGCAAUGUCCACUGUCUCCCCAGAAGGCACUGAGCAGAGGUCCUACUGGCAGAAAAAGUGAGCUCUGCGCUUCCCGGUCACAGCUCUCAUCUAGGCAGGAAGGCCACAUCCUAGCAUGAGUUCCUAGGGAUGUCACUGUUCCGAGGGGCGGGCGUGAGUAACACAAGCCCUGACUUGCGGAAGCAACCCGGUCAAUCCCGGCACGUCUGCCAGCACUCUCCCUCUAGCAGUCUGAGGGACAGUGUCCACAGGCAGUGGCAAUAACCUGGGCCACCUGCCUGCGCCUCUCAAAUAGUGUGUCUAGAACGGGACAGGCCAGCUUGAAGCACACCUGUGCACAAGCGACAGUUCUGUGGGUAUGUGCACAUACACAUGACUGUGGGUUUACAUCAGCAGCUUCAUGUAUGUCAUCUGCAAACCUGCGGAUAAAUGCAUGCAGGACCAUGCAUGUGCACUGCCUGGAUCACAGGUCAUAAGUCCUUGCUGUUGUGACCACAGCUGUUUCCCGGCCCAGCCUAGAACCUGUGACCCACACCAACGGGCUGUACUCCCCCACCCACUCCUGCACCUCUUGACUUUGGAGACAAGUCUCUGAGGCUGUUAAAACGGAAGAGACCACACAGGCCUUGUGGUUGCUGACAUCCGCUUGGUGGCUUCUGCUGGCCUUACACUCGUUACUGAGGACCACCACCUUCUGACAAGCGGAAGUGUUAACCACCCUAGCCACCUUGCUCACAAGAGGAGAAAAGCAAUUGCACACUGAACAUUUUCCCGCCUGAAGCUCCCAGAGUGUGUCCUCAAGCCUUUGUGAAGCUGUGAGGUAGCCCCGAGCCGCUGAGUGUCGGGGAGGUCUCCCCUCUCAGCAGAAGCGACGGGGCUCAGGCAGGCCCACUUACCAGGCUGUGUCGCUGAGCACAGACAUGGCCUCGUCAAGCACAGCAGGGUCUACCAAGUCACUGUAGGUCAGCACCAUCUCAUACACCUGGCUCGCUGUGGUCUUCCGGAUCUGCAGCAAGAUCAGCAGGUCAACAGGAGGAAACCCAUCACCACCUGGGAAGCCCCACGGGGGUCUUAGGAAGGUCCAUGAAAGGAGGAAAAAGACUCGGCCCCAGCCCAGAUCCUGCUGCCAUCACAGACAUGCGGCAGAGAGGAGGGACCUCGGCCUUUGUCAGAAGUGCAGUACGGACUCCUCCAAGGGAAUCUGUCUAUCUUGCUGUCUUUUCUGGUUUAUGUCCUGUGACAAACUACUUCGUAUGAGGUCUGAUCUACCUCUAGUAAUGUACAUCUCUAGCAAACACGGUAAGCCAUGCGGUCAUCCACUCUGUCUCAAAAACCCACUGUAAAGGUCCCUGACUCUUUUAAGAGUUCUUGGGUAAAAGAGGAGAAUCCUGACCCUGCCCUGUUAGGAUCAUAAUACCCUACCCUCAGCAAUGCGUCUCUACCCAGUGCCAGCACCCACAUUCCAUUCCUACCAACACCAGCCAGUUGAUGGCCGAAUCCCAGGGCUGCCUACGCCUGCAAACCAUCCCCACAGGCGCAUCAUCUCAGCCUGUUCAUUUCUAAAGUCACUGUUAAAGGCCACGCAGAUCUGGGUCCUAGGCAGAUGGCCUUGAGGUAGGGCAGGCACACUCACCACGGGAAAAGGGUGGCCAAGGAGAAGGAACAGCUGCAGAAGAACCUUCUUUCUCACAUCACCGCUGAACUGCACCAUUCCACAGAGCCUAAGGGAGACCCAAAAAGGACACAGUAACCCUUGAGUCCUGUGCCAAUAUGCGCAUACCUCUAUAUCCACACGUGCGCUGUGCGCUAGUGUGCUCCGUGUGACCUACAGUCAUGUGUGCACACGUGCUCCCCUAUACACGAGAUCGGGUGCUGGCCAGUGUGCGCCUGUGUGUCCAGACUCAAACACUCUCCUGUGCGCAUGUUUGUAUACCUCACGUGAUUGCUCCAGUUUCCUGUGCCCGUGUGUACGUGCCCAUGUCCCAGAUCCCUACACUAGCAUAGGUGUAUCAGAGCCUAUGAUGGCCUUUGGGCAGCUACAGGGCCAGCAAGGCUCCUGAGCAAGUGACAAAUGGAGACCCAGCUUUCCUGUUCUGAUCCGUAGCCGCCACUGCUGACGGUAACGGUCUGCCCUUUCCUUCUCUAAAUGAGCACUCCCACACUCCCUUUUUAAGCAGCUUUGUGAUUAAACUCUAUCUUCCACCAGGAA